This 96-nucleotide signal recognition particle RNA is filed under the name Candidatus Babeliales bacterium. RNAcentral's name for it is "signal recognition particle sRNA small type". It matches the Rfam family "Bacterial small signal recognition particle RNA". From Rfam's summary of the family: The signal recognition particle (SRP) is a universally conserved ribonucleoprotein involved in the co-translational targeting of proteins to membranes. Archaeal SRP consists of a 7S RNA and homologues of the eukaryotic SRP19 and SRP54 proteins. Lineage: Bacteria; Candidatus Babeliae; Candidatus Babeliales. The record is from RNAcentral.
UGAGAGAAGUUGAUAAGCUUUACUAUGCUUAAUCUGUCAGGUCUGGAAAGAAGCAGCAGGGGCAUGCGUAACGUUGUAUUAACUUCUCUCUGUUUU